RNAcentral lists this transfer RNA (64 nucleotides) under Romalea microptera (eastern lubber grasshopper). RNAcentral describes it as "tRNA-Arg". The record is from RNAcentral. Lineage: Eukaryota; Metazoa; Arthropoda; Insecta; Orthoptera; Romaleidae.
GGGUAAGAAGCGAAAAAUUGCAUUCAGUUUCGACCUGAAAAGAUGGUAAUAAUACCCUUAUCCU